GAAACAUUCACGUACGUCGAGUGUGACACAGGUCGCCUAGGUGUGAUAAGUUGCAACUUCUCGGAAAUGAAAGAUAUAUUACUUUGUUUCCUAUUGUUAAAUGUCUGGAUGAUUAUCAAGUGACUGCUUGGUGGCAGCAAUACAAUGAUACAGAAAUACUGAGCUUUUUCACAGUGAUUAAAAUGAGCUUGUAUCAUUUCAAGUAUAUUGAUAAAAGACAAAUAGUCGCGAAUGUCGUGAAUAAUGUUGGGAAGCUCCAUACUAUUAAAGUUAUGACUUUACUCGCCAGAAUGGCAUCGUCAGACUUUACCACUGAAAGUUUUACUACUAGCACAUUAUCUCACAAUACAGCUACUAGAGAAAAUCUAGUUGAAAAUAAUAGCUGCAAAGUGUAUCAAGCUCUAUUAGAGACAAACAUGGCAACAAAAGUUGGCCUAAUCGCAUUGGAUUGCUUGGAUUUCUUCUAUAUUCAUUUUAAAAUAAUAAUUAUUAAGCGAAUUUUAUGUUUUCUUGAUUUUAUGUGUAAAUGAUUUCCUAAAACACGUUUAUUAAUGCUCCCGUUUAAAGCAACUACUAAUAUGUCGCAAAAAUUGAUUGUCAAAGAUUGAAAGACUGAUUGACCAUUUUUAGCUAUGCCUCUUUUAAUAAAGUGAUGAAGAGUACAGGUUUUUCAAUUAAAGUGAAAGAUUUUAAUAAAAGAAUACAAACAGUUUUAAUGGCAAUUGCGCAAAUGCGGGAACAUGACCUUGAGAUGCUAGUCGACAACAUAGUUUGGCUAAUUCUUAUGCCAGCAUACCCGAAUUGAGACAUACAUCGUUGGAGAUGAUGGCUAGGAAUCAUAUCAAAGAUGGCAAUUUCUCAGAGGUGCAUAUUUUUAUUAUGUUGACAUAAAAAUAUAUUUUUAUGUAUUUUAAAUAUUUAUUCAAUGUUAUUCUUUCAAUGAGAUUCUUAACGCAUAUUUUAAUAACAUAUACUUUUAAUUUUUAAGACUGCUUAUUAUCAAUGCAUAUAGCAGCGCUAAUGGCUGAAUAUUUGAAAUUGCGGAAAGUUCAUCCGUGGAGCGCAGAGGUUUUUGAUUAAAUUUUCAUGAACAUAUUAAAAGACGAACGGAAUCUCAAACUUAAUGUUGGUGAGAUUGUAUGUUUUUACUGUAUUACAUGUUUAUCCUUUAUUUUUAGAUGCAAGAUAUUCAAUAUAACGAAAGUUUUUUACUCAAACAAUUAGAAGUUUGUGUCGAUACGUUGGAGAAAACCGAGCAUUUCGAAUGGCAAUUGCUUGGCACUUAUAUUGUUUAAUAGUUCUCAUGUACGAAAAGAAGAAAAAUUACAAAGCUUUAGCUUACUCGCAUUUGACGCAAGCCUAUAAUAAAAUUAUAGAAAUGAUACGGACUGGAAAGAGAUUGUUCGGGAGGCUUUACAGAGUAGCAUUCUUUGGCAUGGCAUACUUUGAAGAGGAGAAUGGCCAAGAAUACAUCUAUAAAGAAUCCAAAA
Molecule: long non-coding RNA, 1490 nt
Organism: Pogonomyrmex barbatus (red harvester ant)
Lineage: Eukaryota; Metazoa; Arthropoda; Insecta; Hymenoptera; Formicidae
Source: RefSeq, a predicted model, not a curated record